RNAcentral lists this ribosomal RNA (204 nucleotides) under uncultured bacterium. RNAcentral's name for it is "partial 16S ribosomal RNA". It matches the Rfam family "Bacterial small subunit ribosomal RNA", at positions 1290 to 1500 of the family's 1533-position model. The record is from RNAcentral.
AGUUCGGACUGGAGUCUGCAACCCGACUCCACGAAGUUGGAUUCGCUAGUAAUCGCGCAUCAGCCAUGGCGCGGUGAAUACGUUCCCGGGCCUUGUACACACCGCCCCGUCAAGCCAUGGGAGCCGGGGGCGCCUGAAGUCCGGGACCGCGAGGACCGGCCUAGGGCGAAACUGGUAACUGGGGCUAAGUCGUAACAAGGUAAC